GUACAAAUUUUGAGCUUGCUAUUCUCGUGGUUAGUUCUGGGUAAUUUCUUUCUAUCUUCCUUAAAUGAAGCCAGACCCCUACGUUGAAAACAUACUUUAAAUAAAUGUUCUUGUUAUUGAGAGAAAAGAUUUCUGCUCCAGGGGAGGAAUAUGUCAGUUGUCUGAGUUACGGGACUUGGGUUGGGUCAUGAACAUGAGAAAGUUCAUUGGCUGAGUUUCUAAUAGCUCGCAUAGUGCCUUCAACUUCAUAGGUACUUACACAGGCUAUUGAACUGAAUUUUGAGUGGAAAGUGGGGUAAGAGGUGGGAAUGAACAAUAUGGUUUGGAAGAACCAGAGGAUGGAAGGCAUUAAGUUGGCUAAGGCACUUACUUAUUUUAGAGAUAAAGCUACCAAGGACUUGGGAGUGACAUGCUGUAAAGGAGUUUUAGGAUGAAUCUUGCAUCAGUGCAGAUUAUAAAAGGGAAAGAGUGGCAGAAAGCCAGGAAGUGGAUUAUUAAGAACCAAUGAUGGAAUAAGUACAGGGAAAGAGAAAGGAAAGAUGGAUUUAGCCAACUGAAUCUAGGCUGCACACUAUUAAAGCUCAGGGUGGAGGCCAGUCUUGGCUCAUGAACUUCUGAGUGUCGGAAGUGUGCUAUAUCAAUGGCAGGAUUUUCGCUAACACCAGUAGAGCUUGCCUCUAUGACUGGAGUUUGGUAGUACUCGCUGCCACAUAGAGUAAACUUGAGAAGAAUGUUUGCACA
RNAcentral lists this long non-coding RNA (741 nucleotides) under Homo sapiens (human). The record is from RNAcentral. Lineage: Eukaryota; Metazoa; Chordata; Mammalia; Primates; Hominidae.